GGCGUGCUUACACAUGCAAGUCGAGUGCGCGGUUGUAGCAAUACAACUGGCGCACGGCGCACGGGUGCGUAACACGUGGGCAAUCUGCCCUCCGAUGGGGAAUAACUCCGGGAAACCGAAGCUAAUUCCGCAUAACAUUCCCUGGACUCCGGUUUGGGGAAUCAAAGCAGUGAUGCGUCGGAGGAGGAGCCCGCGCCCGAUUAGCUAGUUGGCAGGGUAACGGCCUACCAAGGCAAUGAUCGGUAGCUGGUCUGAGAGGAUGGCCAGCCACACUGGGACUGAGACACGGUCCAGACUCCUACGGGAGGCAGCAGUGGGGAAUCUUGCGCAAUGGGCGAAAGCCUGACGCAGCGACGCCGCGUGGGGGAUGAAGCUUCUCGGAGUGUAAACCCCUUUCGACUGGGACGAAUGCCCGCAAGGGAGUGACGGUACCAGUAGAAGAAGCCCCGGCUAACUACGUGCCAGCAGCCGCGGUAAGACGUAGGGGGCCAGCGUUGUUCGGAAUUACUGGGUGUUAAGGGUUCGUACGCGGUGUGGCAAGUCGGGAGUGAAAUUUCUG
Molecule: ribosomal RNA, 559 nt
Filed under: uncultured bacterium
Lineage: Bacteria
Description: bacterial SSU rRNA
Rfam family: Bacterial small subunit ribosomal RNA
Source: RNAcentral